RNAcentral lists this transfer RNA (68 nucleotides) under Loxodonta africana (African savanna elephant). It matches the Rfam family "tRNA". Rfam says of the family: Transfer RNA (tRNA) molecules are approximately 80 nucleotides in length. Their secondary structure includes four short double-helical elements and three loops (D, anti-codon, and T loops). Further hydrogen bonds mediate the characteristic L-shaped molecular structure. tRNAs have two regions of fundamental functional importance: the anti-codon, which is responsible for specific mRNA codon recognition, and the 3' end, to which the tRNAs corresponding amino acid is attached (by aminoacyl-tRNA synthetases). tRNAs cope with the degeneracy of the genetic code in two manners: having more than one tRNA (with a specific anti-codon) for a particular amino acid; and 'wobble' base-pairing, i.e. permitting non-standard base-pairing at the 3rd anti-codon position. The record is from Rfam by way of RNAcentral. Lineage: Eukaryota; Metazoa; Chordata; Mammalia; Proboscidea; Elephantidae.
GUGAUGGUUCAGUGGUAGAAUUCUCGCCUUCCAUGCAGGAGACCCAGGUUUGAUUCCUGGCCAGUACA